Molecule: ribosomal RNA, 253 nt
Filed under: uncultured bacterium
Lineage: Bacteria
Description: partial 16S ribosomal RNA
Rfam family: Bacterial small subunit ribosomal RNA
Source: RNAcentral
UACGUAGGGUGCGAGCGUUAAUCGGAAUUACUUGGCGUAACGCGUGCGCAGGCGGCUUUGCAAGACAGAUGUGAAAUCCCCGGGCUCAACCUGGGAACUGCAUUUGUGACUGCAAGGCUAGAGUACGGCAGAGGGGGAUGGAAUUCCGCGUGUAGCAGUGAAAUGCGUAGAUAUGCGGAGGAACACCAAUGGCGAAGGCAAUCCCCUGGGCCUGUACUGACGCUCAUGCACGAAAGCGUGGGGAGCAAACAGG